RNAcentral lists this transfer-messenger RNA (374 nucleotides) under Chloroflexota bacterium. RNAcentral describes it as "Chloroflexi bacterium transfer-messenger RNA". It matches the Rfam family "transfer-messenger RNA". Rfam says of the family: Bacterial tmRNA, also known as 10Sa RNA or SsrA, is named for its dual tRNA and mRNA-like properties. Its role is to liberate the mRNA from a stalled ribosome. To accomplish this part of the tmRNA is used as a reading frame that ends in a translation stop signal. The record is from RNAcentral. RNAcentral also lists the same sequence under 2 other names. Lineage: Bacteria; Bacillati; Chloroflexota.
GGGGGCGUAUUGGUUUCGACGGGGUCGUGGGUCGUGCGAUGGCGAGCCGAGCCCCGGGCUCGUAAAACCGGGAAAGAAAUACGUGCGAAUAACGCACCUGUCGCCCUCGCCGCGUAAGCGGUAGAGACGCAAAAGCUCAGGCUACGGCCUGACGUCGACCGUCUCUUCGGUCGUGGGAGACGGACCCGACGCUAAUGUGAGCGGCCUCGCCGUCCGGUGGCGCCUCGGCGCCGGACGGGACGUCCACCGAGGCUGGCCGGUUCACAGCCUGGUCCCAGGGCGGCGAAUCGGCGAGAACAAAACCGGGACUACGCUCGUAGAGGUCGUGCGGUACGCGGCUUCGGACGCGGGUUCGACCCCCGCCGCCUCCACCA